AAAAAAUUAGUCAAGUAAGUAAGGGCGUACGGCGGAUGCCUUGGCCAUAUCAGCCGAAGAAGGACGCGAUAAGCUGCGAUAAGCUGCGGUGAGGUGCAAGUAACCUUUGACCCGCAGAUCUCCGAAUGGGGAAACCCGGCAGCAGUAGUGCUGUCAUCCUCUAUGAGGAAGGGCACCCGGUGAACUGAAACAUCUAAGUAGCCGGAGGAAAAGGAAUCAACAGAGAUACCCCUAGUAGCGGCGAGCGAACGGGGCAGAGCCCAAACCGGAAUGGGAAACCAAUCCGGGGUUGUGGACUGCUAUCAAAUGCAUGAGUGAAGCAGAAUGAGCUGGGAAGCUCAGCCAGAGAGAGUGAGAGCCUCGUAGGCGUAAGCAAAUGCAUGGAGCAGGAUCCAGAGUACCACGGGACACGAGAAACCCUGUGGGAAGCUGGGGGGACCACCCUCCAAGGCGAAACACUGAUAUGGACCGAUAGCGCAUAGUACCGUGAGGGAAAGGUGAAAAGAACCCCGGGAGGGGAAUGAAAGAGAACCUGAAACCGUAUGUCUACAAGCAGUCGAAGACCUUUAUAUGGUCGACGGCGUGCCUAUUGAAGAAUGAACCGGCGAGUUACUUCAGCUAGCGAGGUUAAGCGGAAAACGUGGAGCCGAAGCGAAAGCGAGUCUGAACAGGGCGUAUAGUUAGUUGGAGUAGACCCGAAACCACAGUGAUCUACCCAUGUCCAGGUUGAAGCACAGGUAAAAAUGUGUGGAGGACCGAACCAGUGAGCGUUGAAAAGCUUUUGGAUGAGAUGUGGGUAGGGGUGAAAUGCCAAUCGAACGUGGAGAUAGCUGGUUCUCCCCGAAAUAGCUUUAGGGCUAGCCUCAUGGCGAGAGUACAGGCGGUAGAGCACUGAACGGGGUAGGGGCCUAUCCGGCUACUGAACCUAAUCAAACUGCGAAUGGCUGUACUUAUCCAUGGGAGUCAGACUGUGAGUAAUAAGGCCCAUAGUCAAGAGGGAAACAGCCCAGACCAACAGCUAAGGUCCCCAAUGCCGUACUAAGUGGCGAAGGAUGUGGAAUUUCGAAAACAACCAGGAUGUUGGCUCAGAAGCAGCCACCAUUAAAAGAGUGCGUAAUAGCUCACUGGUCGAGAGACUCUGCGCCGAAGAUGUCCGGGGCUAAAGUACGGAACCGAAGCUUUGGCAAUUGACAUUAGUCAAUUGGGUAGGGGAGCGUUCCUGCAUGGGAGAAGCCUGACCGGAAGGACAGGUGGACAGGCAGGAAGAGAGAAUGCCGGUAUGAGUAGCGAAAAGAAGGGUGAGAAUCCCUUCCACCGAAAGCCUAAGGGUUCCUGGGCAACGAUCGUCGUCCCAGGGUAAGUCGGGACCUAAUCCGAGGCGGAGACGCGUAGGAGAUGGACAACAGGUUGAAAUUCCUGUACUGGCUGAGGCCGUUUGAGCGAAGGAGUGACACAGGAAGGAAGGCGCGCGUGCGAUUGGAAGAGCACGUCCAAGCAGGUAGGUUGGGAGACAGGCAAAUCCGUUUCCCAUGAGGCCGAGAUGCGAUGGGGAGCUUCUGGAGACAGAAGCGAAGGGGCUGGCACUAAACUGUCGAGAAAAGCUUCUAGUGAGGACUCAGGCACCCGUACCGAAACCGACACAGGUAGGCAGGAUGAGAAUUCUAAGGUGCGCGGGAAAACCCUCGUUAAGGAACUCGGCAAAAUAUAUCCGUAACUUCGGGAAAAGGAUAACCCAGCGUACGUGAAGUGCAGAAGCGCAUGGAGCGGAGAUGGGUGGCAGAAGAGAGGCCCAAGCGACUGUUUACCACAAACACAGGCGUCUGCUAAAGCGAAAGCUGAUGUAUAGAUGCUGACACCUGCCCGGUGCUGGAAGGUUAAGAGGAAGUGUUAGCGCAAGCGAAGCAGUGAAUUGAAGCCCCAGUAAACGGCGGCCGUAACUAUAACGGUCCUAAGGUAGCGAAAUUCCUUGUCGGGUAAGUUCCGACCCGCACGAAAGGUGUAACGAUUUGGGCACUGUCUCAACGAGGGACCCGGUGAAAUUGAAGUACCUGUGAAGAUGCAGGUUACCCGCGACUGGACAGAAAGACCCCAUGGAGCUUUACUGUAACCUGAGAUUGGAUUCCGGUAAGAGAUGUACAGGAUAGUUGGGAGGCUUAGAUACAAGUACGCCAGUAUUUGUGGAGCCAUUGGUGGGAUACCAACCUUGUUUUAUUGGAAUUCUAACGAGAAGCGUAACGAGCUUGCGGACAGUCUCAGGCGGGCAGUUUGACUGGGGCGGUCGCCUCCGAAAGAGUAACGGAGGCGCCCAAAGGUUCCCUCAGCGCGGACGGAAACCGCGCGAAGAGUGCAAAGGCAGAAGGGAGCUUGACUGCGAGACGGACAGGUCGAGCAGGGACGAAAGUCGGGCUUAGUGAUCCGGUGGUAGAGAGUGGAAUUGCCAUCGCUCAACGGAUAAAAGCUACCCUGGGGAUAACAGGCUUAUCUCUCCCAAGAGUCCAUAUCGACGGGGAGGUUUGGCACCUCGAUGUCGGCUCAUCACAUCCUGGGGCUGAAGUAGGUCCCAAGGGUUGGGCUGUUCGCCCAUUAAAGUGGUACGCGAGCUGGGUUCAGAACGUCGUGAGACAGUUCGGUCCCUAUCCAUCGCGGGCGUAAGAAACUUGAAAGGGGCUGCUCCUAGUACGAGAGGACCGGAGUGGACCGACCAAUGGUGUACCAGUCAUGGCGCCAGCCGUGCAGCUGGGUAGCUACGUCGGGGACGGAUAAACGCUGAAAGCAUCUAAGCGUGAAACCAGCCUAGAGAUGAGGUUUCUCAUUGUUUUAACAAGUAAGGUCCCACAAAGACGAUGUGGUUGAUAGGCCGGGAGUGGAAGUACAGCGAUGUACGGAGCGGACCGGUACUAAUAGACCGAGGACUUGACUUAA
RNAcentral lists this ribosomal RNA (2922 nucleotides) under Megasphaera elsdenii. RNAcentral's name for it is "bacterial LSU rRNA". It matches the Rfam family "Bacterial large subunit ribosomal RNA". Lineage: Bacteria; Bacillati; Bacillota; Negativicutes; Veillonellales; Veillonellaceae. The record is from RNAcentral.